UGUUGACAACCCCUGAAGAGCCUCAGU
RNAcentral lists this non-coding RNA (27 nucleotides) under Homo sapiens (human). The record is from RNAcentral. Lineage: Eukaryota; Metazoa; Chordata; Mammalia; Primates; Hominidae.